This 77-nucleotide transfer RNA is filed under the name Alistipes sp. Its description in RNAcentral is "tRNA-Met". It matches the Rfam family "tRNA". Rfam says of the family: Transfer RNA (tRNA) molecules are approximately 80 nucleotides in length. Their secondary structure includes four short double-helical elements and three loops (D, anti-codon, and T loops). The record is from RNAcentral. RNAcentral also lists the same sequence under 1 other name. Lineage: Bacteria; Pseudomonadati; Bacteroidota; Bacteroidia; Bacteroidales; Rikenellaceae.
GGCGGGUUAGCUCAGCUGGUUAGAGCGCAUGAUUCAUAAUCAUGAGGUCCGGGGUUCAAGUCCCCGACCCGCUACCA